RNAcentral lists this long non-coding RNA (1498 nucleotides) under Apteryx owenii (little spotted kiwi). RNAcentral describes it as "lncRNA (ENSAOWG00000013573.1)". The record is from RNAcentral. Lineage: Eukaryota; Metazoa; Chordata; Aves; Apterygiformes; Apterygidae.
CGGUGUCAGUGCGGCCCCGGGGACCAGCGAGGCGCCCGGGCAGGCUCAGGCUCCUCUGGGAGAGGAGCAACGUUCCCCCGAGCUGCGUUGCGAGCCGGGAUCUGUUCUUCGCUGGUAACUUGGCUCGCUCGGAGCACCGGGGCGGUAGCGCCGAGCCGUUCAGGCAGCAGCGAUGUGGGACACGGGGCGACUUGUCGCGUCCGCGUCACCGAAAUAAAACAUCGUGGAAGCGAAUGCAACGAAAAUAGUCCUGCCUUGCGGACAGCUGGGCUCGAUAAUCGGAGACCGGGUUGUGGCCGGCUGCUGGGUUAUUCUUGGGUUGCUAAUGUGAAGGCCAGGACGUUAGGCAGACGCAAUAUCUCACCAGAAGUCACAACGCAGAUAUUUAACUACCAUCUGCUCUGGAUAAUCCAAAAAAUGGGACUGAAACGCAGCAGUGUUGACAUACGAAGGCAGUGCAAACUGCUGAAACAAAGAAUCAGGAGCUUCGAUUUUGCACAAAGCUUAAGUGAAAAAUCUACACCAAUGCAAAUGUUACUAUGCUUAAGGAUGUGACUUAUUGCAUUCAUAUAGCAUGGUCCUGUUUUUAAUGAGCAGGCAGAAGUCCUUGGCAGGUAAACAGCAGAGUCAUGGAAUAAGUAUUCGUUACUGUGCAAUUGAAUUCUGUACUUUUGUGUCUAACACAAACGAUAGUGCACACACGGUGAGUCUAAUAUUCCCAGGAAGACCGGGACUGACAUGUAACUGCCCCUGGGAAGAGAGGAGGAAAUGAAUCUGGUGGCGACGGAAGACAGGGCCUUGGUGCAGCAAGAAGAAAAAAAGAGGCAGAAAAGAGGUGAAUGACUGUACGGUGAGUCAGUGGUAUUUUGUUGAGUUUAUGCAUGUGUUUAUUUUCUGGGUGUGAUAUCUGAAUUUAACAUUAGAUAUUCCUAAAUAAUGGAUACAUAUACACACUGCUGUGCAUUCUCAACUACUGAGACACACAUGCACACAAACACCACAAAAAAAGACAUUAAAAGAAGACUAUUAAGGCUGCAAAGUCAAUUGUUCAGAAAUUAAGAAGUGUCAGAGUUAAGACCAUCUGAGCAAUCCUAUUUCUUGCUUUCUUUGUGCAUAUGCUUCAUAAUCCAGUUUUUAAUUACAUGGUAACAGUGUUUUGUUUUUCCCCCCAUAGGGCACCUGCCUCAAUCAGUGCACAGGAUGGACAGCACGCACUCUGUAAGAAAGCAGUAUUUCCCAGUUCAAUGCAUGUGUUAUUUACUGCACGCUGUCCAGCCCCAGCUCUGAAGCAGAAUUAUCCCUUAGGAGGUUUCCUGCAGAGCUCAUCACCAACACAUCUGAGUGCUUCACACCAUUAACUGUUUAGUUUUCCUCUCUGAGAUGCGUACARUUCCCACAGAGAGAAGGUGGUAAAACACAACAGCAAAAGCAAAAYGCCAUCUGUCUAUUAUGGAGUCUCCGAUUGGAAGUGCCAAGGAACUGAUUUUCCAGACAGCUU